Molecule: ribosomal RNA, 450 nt
Filed under: uncultured bacterium
Lineage: Bacteria
Description: partial 16S ribosomal RNA
Rfam family: Bacterial small subunit ribosomal RNA
Source: RNAcentral
GUGGGGAAUUUUGGACAAUGGGCGAAAGCCUGAUCCAGCCAUGCCGCGUGCAGGAUGAAGGCCUUCGGGUUGUAAACUGCCUUUGUACGGAACGAAAAGACUCCUUCUAAUAAAGGGGGUCCAUGACGGUACCGUAAGAAUAAGCACCGGCUAACUACGUGCCAGCAGCCGCGGUAAUACGUAGGGUGCAAGCGUUAAUCGGAAUUACUGGGCGUAAAGCGUGCGCAGGCGGUUAUAUAAGACAGAUGUGAAAUCCCCGGGCUCAACCUGGGAACUGCAUUUGUGACUGUAUAGCUAGAGUACGGUAGAGGGGGAUGGAAUUCCGCGUGUAGCAGUGAAAUGCGUAGAUAUGCGGAGGAACACCGAUGGCGAAGGCAAUCCCCUGGACCUGUACUGACGCUCAUGCACGAAAGCGUGGGGAGCAAACAGGAUUAGAAACCCGGGUAGUCC